GACGAACGCUGGCGGCGUGCUUAACACAUGCAAGUCGAACGGAAAGGCCCUGCUUUUGUGGGGUGCUCGAGUGGCGAACGGGUGAGUAACACGUGAGUAACCUGCCCUUGACUUUGGGAUAAAUUCAGGAAACUGGGGCUAAUACCGGAUAGGAGCUCCUGCUGCAUGGUGGGGGUUGGAAAGUUUCGGCGGUUGGGGAUGGACUCGCGGCUUAUCAGCUUGUUGGUGGGGUAGUGGCCUACCAAGGCUUUGACGGGUAGCCGGCCUGAGAGGGUGACCGGCCACAUUGGGACUGAGAUACGGCCCAGACUCCAACGGGAGGCAGCAGUGGGGAAUAUUGCACAAUGGGCGGAAGCCUGAUGCAGCAACGCCGCGUGCGGGAUGACGGCCUUCGGGUUGUAAACCGCUUUCGCCUGUGACGAAGCGUGAGUGACGGUAAUGGGUAAAGAAGCACCGGCUAACUACGUG
Molecule: ribosomal RNA, 468 nt
Filed under: uncultured bacterium
Lineage: Bacteria
Description: partial 16S ribosomal RNA
Rfam family: Bacterial small subunit ribosomal RNA
Source: RNAcentral